Long non-coding RNA from Mauremys reevesii (Reeves's turtle), 1418 nucleotides. RefSeq lists it as uncharacterized. The record is from RefSeq and is a predicted model, not a curated record. Lineage: Eukaryota; Metazoa; Chordata; Testudines; Geoemydidae. The transcript is spliced from 4 exons.
GCUGGUUGUGUCUGGAGCACUGUGUAGCCUCUUCUAUGGGAAGUUACCAUAGGUCAGUGGGGCCUGAAUCUCUCCUGCUCCUUUGUUCUCUUUGGGCUUCACAGGAGAUGUCUGGUGAACUGCCCGUGGACUCUGUGCCCAGCACCACUCUGAAAUUAUUUGCUACCUUUGAAGAAACAGGGCACAGCUCACCCUGUUAGGUAGGCUGGAGACUCACACUUCACUCACACACACAACACUGAGGUGCUUUGGGAAGCAUAGUAACAAAGAAGAGAUUUAAGUGAUACUAAGCAAGAGAAAGAGACAAAUGUCAAACAGACAAACAAAGCAAAACACACUUUGUAGUGACUAAAACUGAAUCUUAAGAGUCACAAUCUUGGCCUUAGCAGUUUGCAGACCGACAUCUCAGCUUUCCUAACAGACCUUAUUUGAUGUCCCUGUACUGUACAAAAAUUCUCUGUCGAAUCCGGUGAUUUGAUUGCUUUGCCUUUCGGUUUCAGACCCUUUGUUCUCCUUCUGGGGUGCCUGGACCCUGAUUGUAACAUCUUUCUUCCAGUCUCUGUCCCAGCCUCUCACACAGAUGAAUGCUGCAGCCAGCCCAGCUCAGAGAGCAGUGGGGAGAGAUGAUCUCAUCCCGUCAAACCAAGCAACAUGGGUCCCAUUGUGGCUUAGAUGGAAGAUCCCGUGCAUCUCCUGGAGAGGAUGUGUCCGGGAUCCUGGAGACUGUUUUCUGCAGGAGGUUUGAGUGGGGAGAGGUCACUCACUGUCAUGACCCCUUGGUCAUUAACCCAGGUCUGCAGGGUUCAUGGGAGCAGCCACACUCCAGCAGGCCACCUGGAAGCCUCCUAAAAACUGCUUACCUAGGACUUACGAAGUCCAGAACCAGUUGGAGGCUCUAUCCCUAAGGCCUUAUUGGCAGAGUCCCAGAGCAGCUAAUCGGCCCCUGGGACCUCCUUAAACCAACAGCAGGAACAAGAAGCUGUGUGAACACCCGAGCUCCCCUGUCUUCUGGACCAUGUGUUAGCUGUUCCUGCUCCCACUGCCCAGGCUUGAUUUCCUGGCAUCCUGACUCGCUGUGACUCAUCUGAUUUGAGGUCAGCCAGUGAGGCCAGUUUGCAGAACGUGGAAGAGCUGUUUGGUGAUGAGUUGGAGGAUUCACCAUAUAGGUGGCAGCAGCUGCAGAUCCUGGAGUCCCUAUGGGAGUCUUUGGCUUUAGCUGCUUGGCCUGCCUGCCGAGACAGAGGACUCAGGUAUUUCCAUCAGGCUGCUCAGUUGCAAAUGCAGCCACCCAAAGAAGUGAAGAAUGGAAGUGAAAGAGCAAAGCUGGACCAUCCACUGAGCUGCUGCAAUCAAAUGAGCAGAGCCUGGGAGAGAAGAGGGAAAGCUCGAAGGUGGCUGGUGGCUGUAGGGAGCCAGGG